CCCUUAGAGUUUGAUCCUGGCUCAGGAUGAACGCUGGCGGCGCGCCUAACACAUGCAAAUCGAACGAAGCAUUUAAGACAGAUUACUUCGGUUUGAAGUCUUUUAUGACUGAGUGGCGGACGGGUGAGUAACGCGUGGGUAACCUGCCUUGUACUGGGGGACAACAGUUGGAAACGACUGCUAAUACCGCAUAAGCGCACAGCUUCGCAUGAAGCAGUGUGAAAAACUCCGGUGGUACAAGAUGGACCCGCGUCUGAUUAGCUGGUUGGUGAGGUAACGGCCCACCAAGGCAACGAUCAGUAGCCGGCCUGAGAGGGUGAACGGCCACAUUGGGACUGAGACACGGCCCAAACUCCUACGGGAGGCAGCAGUGGGGAAUAUUGCACAAUGGGGGAAACCCUGAUGCAGCAACGCCGCGUGAGUGAAGAAGUAUUUCGGUAUGUAAAGCUCUAUCAGCAGGAAAGAAAAUGACGGUACCUGACUAAGAAGCCCCGGCUACUCUGU
Molecule: ribosomal RNA, 504 nt
Filed under: uncultured bacterium
Lineage: Bacteria
Description: bacterial SSU rRNA
Rfam family: Bacterial small subunit ribosomal RNA
Source: RNAcentral